AUCUGAAUAGUUUAAUUUAAAAUGUUGAUUUGUGGCGUCGAUGAUGAAGUUAAUUUGCUUCUUUGGGUU
This 69-nucleotide transfer RNA is filed under the name Schedorhinotermes putorius. Its description in RNAcentral is "tRNA-His". Lineage: Eukaryota; Metazoa; Arthropoda; Insecta; Blattodea; Rhinotermitidae. The record is from RNAcentral.